This 777-nucleotide ribosomal RNA is filed under the name uncultured Neocallimastigales. Its description in RNAcentral is "partial large subunit ribosomal RNA". It matches the Rfam family "Eukaryotic large subunit ribosomal RNA", at positions 24 to 641 of the family's 3401-position model. Lineage: Eukaryota; Fungi; Neocallimastigomycota; Neocallimastigomycetes; Neocallimastigales. The record is from RNAcentral.
UAUCUCUGUAGAGUCUGCAUAUCAAUAAGCGGAGGAAAAGAAACUAACUAGGAUUCCCUCAGUAACGGCGAGUGAAGCGGGAAGAGCUCAAAUUUGAAAUCUUCAAGGUUCUACCUUGACGAAUUGUAGUUUAAAGAAGUGUUUUCUGUUGGAGUUUUGGUAAAAGUUCUUUGGAAUAGGACAUCAUAGAGGGUGAGAAUCCCGUAUUUGACCAUUAUUUCCAGCUUUGUGAUACACUUUCAAAGAGUCGGAUUGUUUGGGAAUGCAGUCCAAAAUGGGUGGUAAAUUUCAUCUAAAGCUAAAUACUGGCGAGAGACCGAUAGCGAACAAGUACCGUGAGGGAAAGAUGAAAAGAACUUUGAAGAGAGAGUUAAACAGUACGUGAAAUUGUCAAAAGGGAAGCGUUUCGACACCAGUGUUGUUUUCUCGAAAAUCAAUUAAAAAAGGCAGGAUUUUGUGUUGUAUUGACUUUAUCAGCUUUCUAGCACUCUUUUCCUUGUCUUUUUUAAUGCACUUUUCGUUUAACAAGUCAACAUCAAUUUCUUUUGUUGUAAAAGAGUCAUUGGAAGGUGGCUUUCACUUCGGUGAAAGUGUUUAUAGCCUUUGGCUUCUGCAAUCGGAGAGAUUGAGGUCUGCAGCGUAGAUCCUUCGGGGCUAGAUACGUAGAUGCUAAGUUAUAGUUUUUUAUAGACAACUUGUUGACUAUAAUUAAUCAUGUAGCUUACUCGUUUGCGCUAUUUUACCUACGCUUAGGAUGUUGACGAUCAGCUGAGCGCG